CAGCUGAGUGCAGCCAUUGCACUUCCAAUCUCUGUGGCUGUUUCUUUGUCUCUGCAGUAUAAACAAUGACCCUCAUUCCUCCAACAGAGGCCAAGCAUCUGGAGAGUGCCCAGACCACAGCCUCUUUAGAAAGCAAAGUUUUUUGUGUACAGUGAACAUGUCAUAAAGGGAGGUUUUGAUCUACUCUGUUGUUUUCAUGAACAACCGACUGUUUUUUAAACAUAACGUAAAAAUCUCUUUCUGUCAGCAUCUGUGCUUUUUUGAGGUAUUUUUGAUUUCAGCUCCAAUGUUUUGCUUUACUGAACACAGUGUCAUGGGGAAGAGCGGGUUCCUGGUGGGACACCCUCGGGCCGUGCACUGAGGUGCUGCAGGCUGGGAAAGCCCUUUGGUGGUGAUCAGCAGCUGGACCUCAGUGGCUCCCUGAGCUGCUCAGCUGAUCAGAAACCUCCAUCAGAGAUGUUGUUCAGAUUCACGCUCUCCCUGUGCCAGCCCAAGUGCCAAGUGUGUCACCAAGUGUCCCCAACACCUCCCUCUCUGCACUCCCCUCACUGCACUGCUGCCCAAGCAGGAAGGAGUCCACUUGAGACCAGAACUGAAGUUUUCAUUGCACCUGAUGCUGACGACUGAUCAUGGAAAAGCAGGGUUCUCUGUCUGGCUGCUUCCCUGUGACAGUCCUGAAGGAAGCUACCUUCCCUUCCCUCAGUCCUGAAGGAAGUCAGGCUGGAAGCCUCUCUCACCAGUUCACAGGAAGGUAGUGCUGACUUCUGGAAACACAAUGAAAUAGGGAAGGACUGUGCUGUGGUUUGCCAGAGCUCUUUUUUUUCCUGAUGGACAUCUUCUUCAUUUGUUUUAGCCUUUCAAAAGCAACUUGAUGCACUCCAGGCAACGAUCCUCAUCCUUCAGCAUGUUGUCAAGGUGCUCACUGCCAGCCUUCAGCUCCAUUUCCAGAGGCACUGUGGUCAUGGCCAAGGAGAGCUGGAGGUGAUUCUGGAGGGCCUUCUGGAGCGCUCCGUCCCGGUAACUGCGCAGGAAGCGGCGGCAGUUCUCCUGCCUGCAGAACUUGAGCUGCACUAUCAGCUGGGGGUGGCUGCAGUGCACCUUCAGCAUGUCCACACCGUUCAUGCUGCCCGUGGAGUCUGGCAGGGAGAAGUGAGCAGAGUCACUAUCCAGGCAUGAGACAGCCCACCCAGACCCACUCCCAUCCACCACCAAGCCUGCAAUGGAGCAGCUUUUGAAUUCUCUUUGUGACAGAGUUCUCUGGGAUGAAAACCCUGCACGUAAAACCAAGAGGGAAGGAUUAAGUUCUCACUGCCCUGCCACCAUGGAUCUCCACGAAGUAUGGUGUCCAACUGAAGAUUGAGGACAAGCUUUCCCUGCCCAUGAAUGUGAGAUUAGAGAAAGGCCUGGCAUUGUGUGAAGAGAGGAGGCAGCAGACCAAGAUAUGAGAGAGAACAGAUACCUGCUAAUGCCAGCUUCAGUGCCCUGAACACACCGGGCUUCUCCUGGGAGCUCUCGUAGAGGGACGGCAGAACGACGGUCUUGCUCGUUGACUGCAGGAAGAGGUAAGCACUGCCAAUCCAGGGAGCGGAGCUGCCUGCCAUCUUCAGCACCCUACAAAAUCACACAGCCAGCUGAGAGACCAUAGGGAAAAUGGCCUGA
Molecule: long non-coding RNA, 1659 nt
Organism: Chiroxiphia lanceolata (lance-tailed manakin)
Lineage: Eukaryota; Metazoa; Chordata; Aves; Passeriformes; Pipridae
Exons: 7
Source: RefSeq, a predicted model, not a curated record